Paramuricea clavata is the source of this 612-nucleotide non-coding RNA. NCBI's taxonomy places the organism in Eukaryota, Metazoa, Cnidaria, Anthozoa, Malacalcyonacea, Plexauridae. The record is from the annotation of a GenBank genome assembly.
UAUUGGGCUAUUCCAUUUAAUAUCCGUACCCCCCCCUGUCGAGGAUCCCUGGAAUUCUUCAGGGGUAAAGAGUUUUGAGCUUGGAAUUCUUCAGGGGUAAAGUGUUUUGAGCUUGGAAUUCUUCAGGGGUAAAGUGUUUUGAGUUUGGAAUUCUUCAGGGGUAAAGGGUUUUGAGCUUGGAAUUCCUCAGGGGUAAAGGGUUUUGAGUUUGGAAUUCUUCAGGGGUAAAGAGGUUUGACUUUGAAAUUUUUCAGAGCUUGGAAUUCUUCAGGGGUAAAGGGUUUUGAGUUUGGAAUUCUUCAGGGGUAAAGGGUUUUGAGUUUGGAAUUCUUCAGGGGUAAAGGGUUUUGAGCUUGGAAUUCUUCAGGGGUAAAAGGUUUUGAGCUUGGAAUUCUUCAGGGGUAAAGGGUUUUGAGCUUGGAAUUUUGGAAUUCUUCAGGGGUAAAAGAUUUUGAGCUUGGAAUUCUUCAGGUGUAAAGGGUUUUGAGCUUGGAAUUUUGGAAUUCUUCAGGGGUAAAAGGUUUUAAGCUUGGAAUUCUUCAGCGGUAUAACCAUGAAAAACAUGUAUCCUCGACAGGGGGUGAACGGAUAUUAAAUGGAAUAGCCCAUUUU